CAGGUUGCCAUGGCAAACAUUUUACUAAUCUCUAUCUCCCCAGGCUGAGAUACUCUCAAGGGAGGUAAAGUUUGUAUAUAACCCAGAGAUGUGAGCAAGCACAUUCUAGCCAGUGCUGGUUGUUAGGCAUUUCUGAAGCAAAAGGAGGUUUGAUUUGAAAAAGGAUCAUGCCCAGACUGGCUCUGAACUCCUGGACUCAUGUAAUCCAUCUGUGGAGUAGCUGAAGGGCCAAGGAAAGAGCCAGCAUAGCAUGGAAAAACAUUUGCUUCCAAUCCCUUUUAAUAUGCACUCUGGAAAACCAAUGCAGCAGAUACCUGACCUUCCUUGUGUUUUUCUGAGCAAGAAAAGACCUGAAAUCAAAAGGUGUAAAACCAUAGGAUUGGAAUGAACACGUUCAUAUCAGAGGGAAAAUUUCCAACUUACAUUUACCUGAAAGCCAAGGAAGAAUAAUAACCUCCUGUUCCCCUUUCGUAGAGCUCAGUAAAUCUGUCAUCUUCCUGCA
Molecule: long non-coding RNA, 502 nt
Organism: Peromyscus eremicus (cactus mouse)
Lineage: Eukaryota; Metazoa; Chordata; Mammalia; Rodentia; Cricetidae
Exons: 3
Source: RefSeq, a predicted model, not a curated record